UACGGAGGGAGCAAGCGUUACUCGGAAUUAUUGGGCGUAAAGGGCGCGUAGGCGAUUUGAAAAGUCUUGUGUGAAAGCCCCGGGCUUAACUCGGGAAGUGCACAAGAAACUGUUGAAUUUGAGUUCCGGAGAGGAAGGCAGAAUUCCCGGUGUAGCGGUGAAAUGCGUAGAUAUCGGGAGGAAUACCAGUGGCGAAGGCGGCCUUCUGGGCCAACACUGACGCUCAUGCACGAAAGCGUGGGGAGCAAACAGG
Molecule: ribosomal RNA, 253 nt
Filed under: uncultured prokaryote
Description: partial 16S ribosomal RNA
Rfam family: Bacterial small subunit ribosomal RNA
Source: RNAcentral